RNAcentral lists this ribosomal RNA (445 nucleotides) under uncultured bacterium. RNAcentral describes it as "SSU rRNA". It matches the Rfam family "Bacterial small subunit ribosomal RNA", at positions 26 to 518 of the family's 1533-position model. The record is from RNAcentral.
AGAACGAACGCUGGCGGCAUGCCUAACACAUGCAAGUCGAACGAACCCUUCGGGGUUAGUGGCGCACGGGUGCGUAACGCGUGGGAAUCUGCCCUUAGGUACGGAAUAACUCAGGGAAACUUGUGCUAAUACCGUAUGAUGUCGAGAGACCAAAGAUUUAUCGCCUAGGGAUGAGCCCGCGUAGGAUUAGCUAGUUGGUGGGGUAAAGGCCUACCAAGGCUACGAUCCUUAGCUGGUCUGAGAGGAUGAUCAGCCACACUGGGACUGAGACACGGCCCAGACUCCUACGGGAGGCAGCAGUGGGGAAUAUUGGACAAUGGGCGAAAGCCUGAUCCAGCAAUGCCGCGUGAGUGAAGAAGGCCUUCGGGUUGUAAAGCUCUUUUACCCGGGAAGAUAAUGACUGUACCGGGAGAAUAAGCCCCGGCUAACUCCGCGCCAGAGCCGC